This 497-nucleotide ribosomal RNA is filed under the name uncultured bacterium. Its description in RNAcentral is "partial 16S ribosomal RNA". It matches the Rfam family "Bacterial small subunit ribosomal RNA", at positions 28 to 507 of the family's 1533-position model. The record is from RNAcentral.
GAUGAACGCUGGCGGCGUGCCUAAUACAUGCAAGUCGAGCGAACGGACGAGAAGCUUGCUUCUCUGAUGUUAGCGGCGGACGGGUGAGUAACACGUGGAUAACCUACCUAUAAGACUGGGAUAACUUCGGGAAACCGUAGCUAAUACCGGAUAAUAUUUUGAACCGCAUGGUUCAAAAGUGAAAGACGGUCUUGCUGUCACUUAUAGAUGGAUCCGCGCUGCAUUAGCUAGUUGGUAAGGUAACCGCUUACCAAGGCAACGAUGCAUAGCCGACCUGAGAGGGUGAUCGGCCACACUGGAACUGAGACACGGUCCAGACUCCUACGGGAGGCAGCAGUAGGGAAUCUUCCGCAAUGGGCGAAAGCCUGACGGAGCAACGCCGCGUGAGUGAUGAAGGUCUUCGGAUCGUAAAACUCUGUUAUUAGGGAAGAACAUAUGUGUAAGUAACUGUGCACAUCUUGACGGUACCUAAUCAGAAAGCCACGGCUAACUACGUG